RNAcentral lists this ribosomal RNA (425 nucleotides) under uncultured bacterium. Its description in RNAcentral is "partial 16S ribosomal RNA". It matches the Rfam family "Bacterial small subunit ribosomal RNA", at positions 354 to 796 of the family's 1533-position model. The record is from RNAcentral.
GUGGGGAAUCUUGCGCAAUGGGCGAAAGCCUGACGCAGCCAUGCCGCGUGGAUGAUGAAGGUCUUAGGAUUGUAAAAUCCUUUCACCGGUGAAGAUAAUGACUGUAGCCGGAGAAGAAGCCCCGGCUAACUUCGUGCCAGCAGCCGCGGUAAUACGAAGGGGGCUAGCGUUGCUCGGAUUUACUGGGCGUAAAGGGCGCGUAGGCGGACAUUUAAGUCAGGGGUGAAAUCCCGGGGCUCAACCUCGGAACUGCAUUUGAUACUGGGUGUCUUGAGUAUGAGAGAGGUGUGUGGAACUCCGAGUGUAGAGGUGAAAUUCGUAGAUAUUCGGAAGAACACCAGUGGCGAAGGCGACACACUGGCUCAUUACUGACGCUGAGGCGCGAAAGCGUGGGGAGCAAACAGGAUUAGAAACCCGGGUAGUCC